AAGAAAAAAAAAAAAAAAAAAAAAAAAAAAAAAAAAAAAAAAAAAAAAAAAAAAAAAAAAAAAAAAAAAAAGAAAAAGAAGAAAGAGGAAAACUUCAAAUACUAGCAUAGCUGCGUCGUUCGACACUUUUUUUCAUCUUAAUAUUAUGUGAUUUAAAAUAUAUAUAAUUUUAUAUUUUAUAAUUAUUUUUAUUAUUUUUUUGUUAAAUUUUUUGUUAGAUCAACGAUAAAGUUAAAAUCGUAGGGUAUUAAAGUAAAAAUUCGGUAAAUUAUGAAAUAUUAAAGUAAAUAUUUGAUAAACGACAGGUGGGGGUAUCUGAAAUUUUUUGUAUAUGAUUUAACAAAGAGUUAACGAAGACGCUGACAAAAAAAAUAAAAUAAAAUUAUAGAAUACUAAAGUGAUAUAUUUUAAAAUACAAGAUACUCAAAUGAGAAAGCGUGAAAUCAUAGUAGUGGCAUUUGAAGUUUACCAAAAAUAAAAAAGGGGUAAACUUCAAAUACUAUCUCCGUGGUUUCGCACUUUCGCACUUUAGUACCUUAUGAUUUAAAGUGUAUCAAUUUAGUACCCUGUGGUUUCUUUUUUUUUUCGUCAGCCAUUUCAUUAAUUUUUCGUUAAAUUAUAUACAAAAAAACUUCAGAUGCCUAAUCUAUAAUUUAUCGAAUAUUCACUUUAGUACCCUUUAGUUUAACUUUGUCACUGAUUUAAUGAAAAAAAUUAAUAGAGAGGAUAACAAAAAAAAAAAAAAAAAAAAAAAAAAAAAAAAAAAGAAAAAGAAGAAAGAGGAAAACUUCAAAUACUAGCAUAGCUGCGUCGUUCGACACUUUUUUUUCAUCUUAAUAUUAUGUGAUUUAAAAUAUAUAUAAUUUUAUAUUUUAUAAUUAUUUUUAUUAUUUUUUUGUUAAAUUUUUUGUUAGAUCAACGAUAAAGUUAAAAUCGUAGGGUAUUAAAGUAAAAAUUCGGUAAAUUAUGAAAUAUUAAAGUAAAUAUUUGAUAAACGACAGGUGGGGGUAUCUGAAAUUUUUUGUAUAUAGUUUAACAAAGAGUUAACGAAGACGCUGACAAAAAAAAAAAAAAAAAUUAUAGGAUACUAAAGUGAUAUAUUUUAAAACACAAGAUACUAAAAUAAGAAAGCGUGAAAUCAUAGUAGUGGCAUUUGAAAUUUACCAAAAAUAAAAAAGAGGUAAACUUCAAAUACUACCUCCCUGGUUUCGCACUUUCGCACUUUAGUACCCUAUGAUUUAAAGUGUAUCAAUUUAGUACCCUGUGGUUUCAUUUUUUUUUUCGUCAGCCAUUUCGUUAAUUUUUCGUUAAAUUAUAUACAAAAAAACUUCAGAUGCCUAAUCUAUAAUUUAUCGAAUAUUUAUUUUAGUACCCUUUAGUUUAACUUUUUCACUGAUUUAAUUAAAAUAAUUAAUAGAGAGGAUAACAAAAUGAUAAAAAUAAAAUCAUAAGGUAUAAAAAUAAUACACUUUAAAUUAUAAAUACUAAAAUGAGAAAGUACGGAAUUACAAGAAUGAUAUUUGAAAAUUUUUCAAAAAAAAUGGAGAGGCUGCAGGCAGUAGGGGAGAGAGAGAGAGAGAGAGAGAGAGAGAGAGGAAU
RNAcentral lists this long non-coding RNA (1599 nucleotides) under Ananas comosus (pineapple). RNAcentral describes it as "long non-coding RNA (ACOM_LNC026117)". Lineage: Eukaryota; Viridiplantae; Streptophyta; Magnoliopsida; Poales; Bromeliaceae. The record is from RNAcentral.